GGGAGGCCGGUGCCCGGGGGGCCGGGUGGGGCUUGUCCUCACCGCUAUCACCGGGCCCCAGGAGGCUGUCGUGGGCUCAGCCCGGAGGACCUGCGAGUCCCUGCUGCACGGUCACACGACCUGUGACAGGCCUCCCACUCCACUCCCAGCUGCGCGAGAUCCUGGCCAAGGCCUCUCUGGGCCACAAGAGGAAAAGCCUGUUUGGGAUCGACUGGCUGCCGGGGGCAGGGGUCUUCAGCGCAGCCUCCCCUGAACGAUCCAUGCUCCCACCGUCCCAGCUGCUGAAGCCCUUUCUUGCCUCAAGGACAGCAAGUGUGAGAGCCAUGCUGGGGAGCUGUGCCUGCCUUGUACACUGACUGGGGGACACAGAGGAGAGGCCACCCACGGUCACAGUGGACCCGGGCAGGGGACAGGGCAUUGGGCAGGUCGUGCGGCUAUGCAGACCUCUCCAGGGCUCAGCCCAGCCAUGGAGACCAGGCCCACCCAGACCACCCAGAGGCGACGCCAGUAUCCCUGAGGGUUCUACGCAGGCUGGCCCCGUGUCUCCUGAGGUGGGUGUGUGGUUGGAGGGGCUCCCAGGUGCCAGGCCCAGGGCAGAGCUGGGGGUAGAGGUGAGCAUGGAGCCCCGCCCCCCAGCCCCCAGGGGUCACGGAGGGCCCCGGGACUGGGCUGGAAGACUGGCAGGUAGAUAUGUGUGCUCCCGGGCAGACACAAGUGGGCAGGUGUGUCCUUCCGUCAAUUGUAUUGGCACGUGCCCUCGUUUCUCACAAUAGUGUCAACGUUUCUUAUCGUGAGCAAGUGACAGAGGCUAGCUUUUAUCUUAAUAUACAGUUGAAAUGUCAAAGUUAUCUCAAGAAUUAUCAUUGCAUACACUUUUUAAAAGAAAUGCUGGGCCUGGCAAAGACAGCGGGGAGACAGAGGGCAGGGCUGGGGUGAAGGCAGGCACGUGAGUGGUGGAGACAGCUUGGAGCUGUGCCCCCUCUGCCCGGUCUGCCCCUCUGGCUGCUCUCCCUCACCUGCGCCCUGGUCCAGAGAGGAGGGUGGGCAGGCGAGGGUGGAGGGCAGUCCCCUGCUCCCUGGUCCGGCCACACCCCUCUGGGGAGCCCCGCUCGGCACCAUGCAAGGUUGAGCACCCUGUGCGUUACUCACCCAG
Bos taurus (domestic cattle) is the source of this 1153-nucleotide long non-coding RNA. The record is from Ensembl. NCBI's taxonomy places the organism in Eukaryota, Metazoa, Chordata, Mammalia, Artiodactyla, Bovidae.